This 877-nucleotide long non-coding RNA is filed under the name Citrus maxima (pomelo). Its description in RNAcentral is "long non-coding RNA (CMAX_LNC002940)". The record is from RNAcentral. Lineage: Eukaryota; Viridiplantae; Streptophyta; Magnoliopsida; Sapindales; Rutaceae.
UUUAGACCGGCCGCUGACCGCCGUUUUAAACCGAUCAGUUUUCUGGUUCGUUACCGUUAUGGUUCUGAAACCGCAUUCUUUAAUUUCUCUGUCCGUUGUUUUCUCGAGAAACAGCAGUCAAGUUCGUGUUUAGCCGGAGAGCUUCAUCUGUUCUCGGCGAAUAAAAGCAACCUUCAGUGCUAUCCUAGCAAUUGCCGACUCUGCAGCUUAAUUGUUUCUCAACUUAGGUGCGGCUUCUCUUCUCUUUCAUCUGUGUUAUUUUGUUAAUUUAGUUCUUUUAAUGGCCCUGUUGAUUUGUUAUUAUUAGCUGUUAUAAAUGUUCUUGUAUGGCUGUUGUAAUUGUUUUGUGAGUUUUUAAUAAGUUUAUUAGAUGAUGGAGAAUGAGUUUGAAGACGGCUAUUCGAGUUUUUGCAGCUUUAAUUUGGGAUAAUUUUCCAUUUCUAGUUAUGAGAUUUUUGCGUUUAAGGUGAAUGUGAGAUAUUUGAUUGAGCUUUUGUUGCUUUAAUUUCGAUGAAUUUUUCCCUUUUAGUUGUGGGAUUUUAUUUUAUUUUUACGGUGAUUUUGAGACUUACUGAGUUUUCGUCUAUAUAUGUUGCUUUUAAAAUGGUAAUUUAGAGCCAAGAUCCAGGAGGUAUGUGAUACGAUGCUCAUAUAGUUCGAAGUUGGAGCAGUGACAACCUGAUCCCUUACUCUGUUUGUGUCAACAUUGUAGUAUCUCAAUUUUUGUGUCAACAUUGUAGUAUCUCAAUUUCAAUUUCUUGAAUCCAUAACUUUAGACAGAUGUGAUAAGUUGGAGAGUGUGAAUAUUUCAAGGCACUGCCUCAAAACACUCUGUAUGUAUAGGUGUUUAGUUUAGUUGACUGAAAUCAAGAUUGAG